UUUGAAUGAGUGAAUUUUAUCAGGUUAGUAGUAGUUAUGUUCUUGAAAAUUAAAGAAGAUGGCGGUAUUUUAGUCUAUUCAGAGGAACCUGUCCUAUAAUUGAUGGUCCACGAUUUAUUUUACUUAUUUUCUUAGUUUGCAUAUCGCCGUAGAUUGAAUAUUCUUUAAGGAGUAGAACGUUCAAGAGAUUUUUUUUGUGAAGGUAAAUCAGGUCAAGAUGUAGCAUAUAGAUAAGAAGAGAUGGGUUACAAUAAAUUUAUUUAAAACGAAUUAAUUAAUGAAAUUUAUUAUAAAGGUGGAUUUGAGGGUAA
RNAcentral lists this ribosomal RNA (311 nucleotides) under Naupactus leucoloma. RNAcentral describes it as "partial 12S ribosomal RNA". The record is from RNAcentral. Lineage: Eukaryota; Metazoa; Arthropoda; Insecta; Coleoptera; Curculionidae.